This 497-nucleotide ribosomal RNA is filed under the name uncultured bacterium. Its description in RNAcentral is "partial 16S ribosomal RNA". It matches the Rfam family "Bacterial small subunit ribosomal RNA", at positions 28 to 507 of the family's 1533-position model. The record is from RNAcentral.
GAUGAACGCUGGCGGCGUGCCUAAUACAUGCAAGUCGAACGCAGGGGCGGGAACCUUGCUUCUCUGAUGUUUGGCGAAGACGGGUGUGACACACGUGGAUACUCUCCCUUUGAGGGUGGGAAAACUUGGGGACACCGGAGCUAAUACCGGAUAAUAUUUUGUAGCGCAAGGUUUAAUAGUGAAAGACAGUCUUGCUGUUACUUAUAGAUGGAUCCGCGUUGCAUUAGCUUGUUGGUGAGGUAACGGCUUACCAAGGCAACGAUGCAUAGCCGACCUGGGAGGGUGAUCGCCCACACUGGAACUGAGACACGGUCCAGACUCUUACGGGAGGAACCAGUAGGGAAUUUUCCGCAUUGGGCGAAGGCCUGACGGAGCAACGCGGGGGGAUGGAGGAAGUUCUUCGGACCUUAAGCCUCUUUUAUUAGGGAAGAAGAGAGGUGGAAUGAACAGUGCACACCGUGACGGUACCUUAUCAGAAAGCCACGGCUAACUACGUG